GAGUUUGAUCAUGGCUCAGAUUGAACGCUGGUGGCAGGCCUAACACAUGCAAGUCGAGCGGAUGACGGGAGCUUGCUCCUUGAUUCAGCGGCGGACGGGUGAGUAAUGCCUAGGAAUCUGCCUGGUAGUGGGGGACAACGUUUCGAAAGGAACGCUAAUACCGCAUACGUCCUACGGGAGAAAGCAGGGGACCUUCGGGCCUUGCGCUAUCAGAUGAGCCUAGGUCGGAUUAGCUAGUUGGUGGGGUAAUGGCUCACCAAGGCGACGAUCCGUAACUGGUCUGAGAGGAUGAUCAGUCACACUGGAACUGAGACACGGUCCAGACUCUACGGGAGGCAGCAGUGGGGAAUAUUGGACGAUGGGCGAAAGCCUGAUCCAGCCAUGCCGCGUGUGUGAAGAAGGUCUUCGGAUUGUAAAGCACUUUAAGUUGGGAGGAAGGGCAGUAAGUUAAUACCUUGCUGUUUUGACGUUACCGACAGAAUAAGCACCGGCUAACUCUGUGCCAGCA
RNAcentral lists this ribosomal RNA (508 nucleotides) under bacterium enrichment culture clone ALO1_GLFRUDD03F0TQ0. Its description in RNAcentral is "bacterial SSU rRNA". It matches the Rfam family "Bacterial small subunit ribosomal RNA", at positions 9 to 513 of the family's 1533-position model. The record is from RNAcentral.